UACGCAGGUGGCAAGCGUUAUCCGGAUUUAUUGGGUGUAAAGGGCGUGUAGGCGGGAGCGCAAGUCAGAUGUGAAAACUCAGGGCUCAACCCUGAGCCUGCAUUUGAAACUGUGUUUCUUGAGUGCUGGAGAGGCAAUCGGAAUUCCGUGUGUAGCGGUGAAAUGCGUAGAUAUACGGAGGAACACCAGUGGCGAAGGCGGAUUGCUGGACAGUAACUGACGCUGAGGCGCGAAAGCGUGGGGAGCAAACAGG
RNAcentral lists this ribosomal RNA (253 nucleotides) under uncultured bacterium. RNAcentral describes it as "partial 16S ribosomal RNA". It matches the Rfam family "Bacterial small subunit ribosomal RNA", at positions 524 to 776 of the family's 1533-position model. The record is from RNAcentral.